Molecule: ribosomal RNA, 404 nt
Filed under: Fusobacteriota bacterium
Lineage: Bacteria; Fusobacteriati; Fusobacteriota
Description: Fusobacteria bacterium partial 16S ribosomal RNA
Rfam family: Bacterial small subunit ribosomal RNA
Source: RNAcentral
UGGGGAAUAUUGCACAAUGGAGGGAACUCUGAUGCAGCGACGCCGCGUGAGUGAUGAAGGAAUUCGUUUCGUAAAACUCUGUUCUAUGGGAAGAAAAGGACUGUACCAUAGGAGAAAGCUCCGGCUAAAUACGUGCCAGCAGCCGCGGUAAUACGUAUGGAGCGAGCGUUGUCCGGAAUUAUUGGGCGUAAAGGGUGCGCAGGCGGCUUUACAAGUUGGAUGUGAAAUAUUGUGGCUCAACCACAAACGUGCAUCCAAAACUGCAAAGCUUGAUUUAAGGAGAGGUAAGUGGAAUUCCUGGUGUAGCGGUGGAAUGCGUAGAUAUCAGGAGUAAUACCGUUGGCGAAGGCGACUUUCUGGACUUAAACUGACGCUCAAGCACUAAAGCGUGGGGAGCAAACAGG